This 497-nucleotide ribosomal RNA is filed under the name uncultured bacterium. Its description in RNAcentral is "partial 16S ribosomal RNA". It matches the Rfam family "Bacterial small subunit ribosomal RNA", at positions 28 to 507 of the family's 1533-position model. The record is from RNAcentral.
GAUGAACGCUGGCGGCGUGCCUAAUACAUGCAAGUCGAGCGAACAGACGAGGAGCUUGCUCCUUUGACGUUAGCGGCGGACGGGUGAGUAACACGUAGGUAACCUACCUAUAAGACUGGGAUAACUUCGGGAAACCGGAGCUAAUACCGGAUAAUAUUUCGAACCGCAUGGUUCGAUAGUGAAAGAUGGCUUUGCUAUCACUUAUAGAUGGACCUGCGCCGUAUUAGCUAGUUGGUAAGGUAACGGCUUACCAAGGCAACGAUACGUAGCCGACCUGAGAGGGUGAUCGGCCACACUGGAACUGAGACACGGUCCAGACUCCUACGGGAGGCAGCAGUAGGGAAUAUUCCGCAAUGGGCGAAAGCCUGACGGAGCAACGCCGCGUGAGUGAUGAAGGUCUUCGGAUCGUAAAACUCUGUUAUUAGGGAAGAACAAACGUGUAAGUAACUGUGCACGUCUUGACGGUACCUAAUCAGAAAGCCACGGCUAACUACGUG